GGACUACAAGGGUUUCUAAUCCUGUUUGCUCCCCACGCUUUCGUGCCUGAGCGUCAGUGUCAGCCCAGGGGGCUGCCUUCGCCAUCGGUGUUCCUCCGCAUCUCUACGCAUUUCACUGCUACACGCGGAAUUCCACCCCCCUCUGCCACACUCUAGCCAGCCAGUUUCCAAUGCCAUUCCCAAGUUGAGCCCGGGGCUUUCACAUCAGACUUAACCAACCGCCUGCGCACGCUUUACGCCCAGUAAUUCCGAUUAACGCUCGCACCCUACGUAUUACCGCGGCUGCUGGCAC
Molecule: ribosomal RNA, 292 nt
Filed under: uncultured bacterium
Lineage: Bacteria
Also listed under: 1 other name
Description: partial 16S ribosomal RNA
Source: RNAcentral